RNAcentral lists this unclassified non-coding RNA (300 nucleotides) under Glomus sp. RNAcentral describes it as "partial internal transcribed spacer 2". The stretch from base 1 to 65 matches the Rfam family "5.8S ribosomal RNA", at positions 84 to 154 of the family's 154-position model. The record is from RNAcentral. Lineage: Eukaryota; Fungi; Glomeromycota; Glomeromycetes; Glomerales; Glomeraceae.
GUGAAUCAUCGAAUCUUUGAACGCAAAUUGCACUCUCCUCUAAUAGUAUGCCUGUUUGAGUGUCAGCCUAUAAAGAAUCGACAUCGUUGCUGUUUCGCUGUGUCGUUCUUCGGAAAUUGUGGCAUCUUAAAUCCUUUUUAUUGAAGCUACUUAAAAUUUUCUUUUGGUUCCAUGAAUGUUUCUAAUGUCUUUUUCUUUACACGUUUAAGGUAUCAAUUUUUACUAGACGUGACCAUCAUAUCGGAUCGCGUCCAUAAUCUUUCAUUAACUUACCUCUUACAUGUACCAGUACCCUCUGAA